RNAcentral lists this ribosomal RNA (497 nucleotides) under uncultured bacterium. RNAcentral's name for it is "partial 16S ribosomal RNA". It matches the Rfam family "Bacterial small subunit ribosomal RNA", at positions 28 to 507 of the family's 1533-position model. The record is from RNAcentral.
GAUGAACGCUGGCGGCGUGCCUAAUACAUGCAAGUCGAGCGAACAGACGAGGAGCUUGCUCCUCUGACGUUAGCGGCGGACGGGUGAGUAACACGUGGAUAACCUACCUAUAAGACUGGGAUAACUUCGGGAAACCGGAGCUAAUACCGGAUAAUAUAUUGAACCGCAUGGUUCAAUAGUGAAAGACGGUUUUGCUGUCACAUAUAGAUGGAUCCGCGCCGCAUUAGCUAGUUGGUAAGGUAACGGCUUACCAAGGCAACGAUGCGUAGCCGACCUGAGAGGGUGAUCGGCCACACUGGAAAUGAGACACGGUCCAGACUCCUACGGGAGGCAGCAGUAGGGAAUCUUCCGCAAUGGGCGAAAGCCUGACGGAGCAACGCCGCGUGAGUGAUGAAGGUCUUCGGAUCGUAAAACUCUGUUAUUAGGGAAGAACAAAUGUGUAAGUAACUAUGCACGUCUUGACGGUACCUAAUCAGAAAGCCACGGCUAACUACGUG